Molecule: ribosomal RNA, 229 nt
Filed under: uncultured bacterium
Lineage: Bacteria
Description: partial 16S ribosomal RNA
Rfam family: Bacterial small subunit ribosomal RNA
Source: RNAcentral
UGCGUAGGCGGGUUAAUAAGUCAGUGGUGAAAGUCUGCAGCUUAACUGUAGAAUUGCCAUUGAUACUGUUAACCUUGAGUAUAGUUGAGGUGGGCGGAAUGUGUCAUGUAGCGGUGAAAUGCUUAGAUAUGACACAGAACACCGAUUGCGUAGGCAGCUCACUAACCUAUUACUGACGCUGAGGCACGAAAGCGUGGGGAGCGAACAGGAUUAGAUACCCUGGUAGUCC